GAUUGCAUCAGCUCAGUGCUGCAACACGACCAACUGCAACUCCCAGACCCUGACAUUUCCGGACCCUCCGUCUGCUAACGGCCGGACGUGUCCCGUCUGUGACCCGACCACCUCUCAGUGCAGCUCUACAGUUACAUGUUCAGGAGACCAGACCAGCUGCUUCCAAGCAACCAUGACAAACGGCUCAGCAACAUAUCCAGUUGUGGGCUGCGUGUCUCCAAACACAUGUGCAGCUGCAGCGAGCCUGAAUAACCUGCCUUUCAUGGAGAGCGUUGGUAACAUCGUCACUGGACCGACCUGCAGCGCCGCAACCAUCAUGACAACUGUUCAACCAACAAUCUCUACCACACAAGAAACAACAACUGCUGCUGCAACAACCAUUGAAACCACAACUGUAGCUGC
This is a long non-coding RNA of Oryzias melastigma (Indian medaka), 402 nucleotides long. RefSeq lists it as uncharacterized. The record is from RefSeq and is a predicted model, not a curated record. The transcript is spliced from 3 exons. Lineage: Eukaryota; Metazoa; Chordata; Actinopteri; Beloniformes; Adrianichthyidae.